GGGGACGUAGCUCAGCUGGGAGAGCGCCUCGGUCGCAUCGAGGAGGUCGAGGGUUCGAUCCCCUUCGUCUCCACCA
RNAcentral lists this transfer RNA (76 nucleotides) under Collinsella stercoris. RNAcentral describes it as "tRNA-Ala". It matches the Rfam family "tRNA". From Rfam's summary of the family: Transfer RNA (tRNA) molecules are approximately 80 nucleotides in length. Their secondary structure includes four short double-helical elements and three loops (D, anti-codon, and T loops). Lineage: Bacteria; Bacillati; Actinomycetota; Coriobacteriia; Coriobacteriales; Coriobacteriaceae. RNAcentral also lists the same sequence under 7 other names. The record is from RNAcentral.